Long non-coding RNA from Bombyx mori (domestic silkworm), 1153 nucleotides. RefSeq lists it as uncharacterized. Lineage: Eukaryota; Metazoa; Arthropoda; Insecta; Lepidoptera; Bombycidae. The transcript has 3 exons. The record is from RefSeq and is a predicted model, not a curated record.
UCUCCGAAUAUCAGCAAGAGCGUAUCUAUCCUUAGUUUGCGUUUCACAAUCACGGAUAAGUGCUAUCUCUUUUUAACCAACAGUAGAUAGCUUCUUCCCUCCGAUUUAUCCGAGCCUCUUGAUACGUUUCGUUCUACUACAAAUACGAAACAACAUCAGGAUCAAGACUUAUUUUAUUUUAUUCUAAAUUAAAACUAUAAUUUAACCAGCAUAUUGUAGACUAUCAUAAACACAUUUGUUUAUAACAAAAAGUAAUAAAAACAUAUGUAGAUUUUUUUAAAUUGGACGUAUUGCUAUUUUUAUCCUAGUCGAAAUUAUGAAACGAAACGUUUUGACAGUCCGUUUUGCCAAUAAGCAGUGAUCAGUUUCUUUUGUUUGUUUUUCUAUUGUUUACCUACUAUAUUAGAUGAUGACUUACCUCCAAAACGCUUUAAAACUUUCGUUUAUAAUUCUAAGUGUGUUUAUAAUUAAAGAGCUACAGUGAAAUAAAAUGAAUUCUUCAAGAAAGGCAGCACCCAUGACAAAAGAUGAGACGAUGAUUCUAGCAGAACUUGUGGCGGCGAAAAAACAUUUCAAUAAUAAGGCAAUAAAUGCCACAAACAAUAAAUUGAAGGAGCAGGCUUGGCAAACCCUUGUAAAUGAUUUUAAUUCGUUGAUUCGUCGUUUCCCACGAACUCCAUUGCAGCUUCGACUAAAAUGGGAAAACUUAAAGAACGCUACGGCAACAUAAGAAACAACCUUAGUAAGGCUGGAGGUGGUAAGGAUUGCAGAUGAAAUUUUGGAUAAAGCAUGCACAUUGUUGUAGGUCACAUAUAAUAUUUUUAACACUUUUACAGCCAAGCGGAAACAAGAUGGAAGAAAAGAAAUGCAAGGCUAGCAUAGGGACAAUGCAUUAGCAGAAUAUCUAAUAGCAAAAAGAGACUUGGAAAAUAAAGAAAAGGAGAUUGUUGUAGCAAAAGUUAAGUUAGAUUUAGAUAAUUUAAAAAAUUAAAAAUUACUUAAAAGGAAUAUUAAAUUUCAUUAAUUAAGUAGGCAAUAAUAAUUUUAUGUUAGAUAGUUUUUUAAGCAUAUGUACAAAUUCUAAAUUAAAUAUCUUGCAUGUACUAACUACCAUGUAAUUAUCAUUUUGGAAAAUAAAAAAUAGUCAAAUUAU